Molecule: long non-coding RNA, 545 nt
Organism: Sycon ciliatum
Lineage: Eukaryota; Metazoa; Porifera; Calcarea; Leucosolenida; Sycettidae
Exons: 2
Source: RefSeq, a predicted model, not a curated record
GGUGCUUGUACUGCCUUCCAAAGUGAAGAGGAGAUGAACAUGGCUUUGCAUAGCUGUUGUUCUAUGCCAACUUACCUACUCUUGCUGGUACCGUAGUGGCAUAUUGCAAAUUUCGUGGACGAACAACUCUAGUCACUAGUGGCUAGUGAGCAACACUAACAGAGCCUUGACGUUGCUGGACGAGCGACAAUAUAAAUUACAUAAACAUGUAGCUCGUGAUGUGGGAUGACUGCCGUAUCGCAUUGCCAACGCAAACCCAUCCUGUGUCAGUGCAGCCAUCCAGCAACUUGAACUCCCCGGACCAGAUGCCGCUGCAGCUGAACACCAUGCCGAUGGAAAGCCAGGAGUUGAUAGCGAAGCAUUCUGGUCUGCACAGUACAAGGCAAAGAAAAAUUAUGAAUUAUAAUGCAUUGUAAUCUUUCCCACACUUCUUUGUAAAAACAAACAAACAGUGCCAUUAUCACAACACUUGAUCAAGCAUCUUGAUGGAGGUAUUUUCCAUUGUGCUGGCUCAGCAUCUGCACCAGGAAGACCAUGUACACUUA